This 229-nucleotide ribosomal RNA is filed under the name uncultured bacterium. RNAcentral describes it as "partial 16S ribosomal RNA". It matches the Rfam family "Bacterial small subunit ribosomal RNA", at positions 568 to 796 of the family's 1533-position model. The record is from RNAcentral.
UGCGCAGGUGGGUUUGUAAGUCAGUGGUGAAAUGCUGCCGCUUAACGGUAGAAUUGCCAUUGAUACUGCAAAUCUUGAGUAUGGUUGAGGUAGGCGGAAUGUGUCGUGUAGCGGUGAAAUGCAUAGAUAUGACACAGAACGCCGAUUGCGAAGGCAGCUUACUAAGCCAUUACUGACGCUGAGGCACGAAAGCGUGGGGAGCGAACAGGAUUAGAUACCCUGGUAGUCC